This 454-nucleotide ribosomal RNA is filed under the name uncultured bacterium. Its description in RNAcentral is "partial 16S ribosomal RNA". It matches the Rfam family "Bacterial small subunit ribosomal RNA", at positions 28 to 507 of the family's 1533-position model. The record is from RNAcentral.
GAUGAACGCUGACAGAAUGCUUAACACAUGCAAGUCAACUUGAACUUCGGUCUGGGUGGCGGACGGGCGAGUAACGCGUACAGAACUUGCCUCACAGAUAGGGACAACAUUUGGAAACGAAUGCUAAUACCUGAUAUUAUGAUUUUAGGGCAUCCUAGGAUUAUGAAAGCUAUAUGCGCUGUGAGAGAGCUUUGCGUCCCAUUAGCUAGUUGGAGAGGUAACGGCUCACCAAGGCGAUGAUGGGUAGCCGGCCUGAGAGGGUGAUCGGCCACAAGGGGACUGAGACACGGCCCUGACUCCUACGGGAGGCAGCAGUGGGGAAUAUUGGACAAUGGACCAAGAGUCUGAUCCAGCAAUUCUGUGUGCACGAUGAAGUUUUUCGGAAUGUAAAGUGCUUUCAGUUGGGAAGAAAAAAAUGACGGUACCAACAGAAGAAGUGACGGCUAAAUACGUG